Molecule: microRNA precursor, 164 nt
Filed under: Oryza glumipatula
Lineage: Eukaryota; Viridiplantae; Streptophyta; Magnoliopsida; Poales; Poaceae
Description: MIR812 microRNA precursor family
Rfam family: MIR812 microRNA precursor family
Source: Rfam by way of RNAcentral
AAUAAGUGCAGUUUUGCACUAUUCAUUUCUAACGUUUGAUCGUUCAUCUUAUUUGAAAAUUUUUAUGAUUAGUAUUUUUAUUGAUAAUAGAUGAUAAAUCAUGAAUAGACUAUUUUUUAAUUUUUUUAUAAAUUUUUUAAAUAAGAGAGACGAUCAAAACUAGU